This 429-nucleotide ribosomal RNA is filed under the name Bacillota bacterium. RNAcentral's name for it is "Firmicutes bacterium partial 16S ribosomal RNA". It matches the Rfam family "Bacterial small subunit ribosomal RNA", at positions 355 to 776 of the family's 1533-position model. Lineage: Bacteria; Bacillati; Bacillota. The record is from RNAcentral.
UGGGGAAUUUUGGACAAUGGGCGAAAGCCUGAUCCAGCAAUGCCGCGUGUGUGAAGAAGGCCUUCGGGUUGUAAAGCACUUUUGUCCGGAAAGAAAACGCCGUGGUUAAUACCCGUGGCGGAUGACGGUACCGGAAGAAUAAGCACCGGCUAACUACGUGCCAGCAGCCGCGGUAAUACGUAGGGUGCAAGCGUUAAUCGGAAUUACUGGGCGUAAAGCGUGCGCAGGCGGCCCGCUAAGACAGAUGUGAAAUCCCCGGGCUUAACCUGGGAACUGCAUUUGUGACUGGCGGGCUAGAGUAUGGCAGAGGGGGGUAGAAUUCCACGUGUAGCAGUGAAAUGCGUAGAGAUGUGGAGGAAUACCGAUGGCGAAGGCAGCCCCCUGGGCCAAUACUGACGCUCAUGCACGAAAGCGUGGGGAGCAAACAGG